GCCAGACUCCUACGGGAGGCAGCAGUGAGGAAUAUUGGUCAAUGGGCUUACGCCUGAACCAGCCAAGUCGCGUGAGGGAAGACUGCCCUAUGGGUUGUAAACCUCUUUUGUCAGGGAACAAAGGCGGGGACGUGUCCCCGGAUGAGUGUACCUGAAGAAGAAGCAUCGGCUAACUCCGUGCCAGCAGCCGCGGUAAUACGGAGGAUGCGAGCGUUAUCCGGAUUUAUUGGGUUUAAAGGGUGCGUAGGCGGGCUGUUAAGUCAGCGGUCAAAUGUCGGGGCUCAACCCCGGCCUGCCGUUGAAACUGGCGGGCUGGAGUUGGAGAGAAGUACGCGGAAUGCGCGGUGUAGCGGUGAAAUGCUUAGAUAUCGCGCAGAACCCCGAUUGCGAAGGCAGCGUACCGGCUCCACACUGACGCUGAGGCACGAAAGCGUGGGUAUCGAACAGGAUUAGAUACCCGGGUAC
This 465-nucleotide ribosomal RNA is filed under the name uncultured bacterium. Its description in RNAcentral is "bacterial SSU rRNA". It matches the Rfam family "Bacterial small subunit ribosomal RNA", at positions 330 to 793 of the family's 1533-position model. The record is from RNAcentral.